This 588-nucleotide long non-coding RNA is filed under the name Camelus dromedarius (Arabian camel). RNAcentral describes it as "lncRNA (ENSCDRG00005018820.1)". The record is from RNAcentral. Lineage: Eukaryota; Metazoa; Chordata; Mammalia; Artiodactyla; Camelidae.
GGGCAUCAGCCUCUCCUCCACCCUGCCUCUCCCCUCCCCCUGCUACCGGCCCUAUUUCCACGCAGGUGCAGCUUGCCUGGAACGGAGGGCAGCCUGUGACUGUGCAGCUCACCUGGGCCAACAGGUCGUUGGCGCACAGCACCAUCUGGGAUGCUUGCCUGGCCGCCUCCCCGGGGCAGCUCCAGGAAACCUGGGGCCUGGGUGCCCUCAGGGCCUGUGGGGCCUUAACACAGUCCUCGACUGUGUUCAGUGAGUGGCUCGAUCUGUCCUGGGACCGGCGCCGGGUGCAGCAGAGCCUGACAUAUGAGAGGCACCAGCCGUCCCGGCCAGACAAGAUCCGCGCAGAGGCCAGGCUGGAGCACGUCCUCACGGCCUCCUGCGCCACGCAGAGCUUCCGGGGAGACGUGGAGACUGACUACACUCGCUGGCUGCGCCAUUCCCUGCAGCUGGGGCUCUGCCGCCUCCCCAGGGCCCUCUUGGUCUCUGGGGAGCACACCCUGGGUGGCGGUAGGCUCCUGCUACACUCCAAAUGCCAGCUGGGCCUUGCCCCAGACCCAGACCACAGCCUGCACCUCAGCCUGACCCUCC